UUAAUUAAUGCAUUCAAAUUAUUUUUUUUUUAAAAAAAGGUAAAAUUCAAAUACUAUCUUUUUGAUUUCGUACUUUUUUAUUUUAGUAUUCUAUAGUUUAAAGUGUAUCAACCUGUGAUAUCAUUUUUAUUUUUUAGACAGCUUUUUCGUUAAUAUUUCGUUAAAUUAUUUACAAAAAUUUUCAGAUAUUCCACCUAGGUUUAUCGAAUAUUCACUUUAGUGACUUUUAGUUUUAAUUUUGUCACUGAUUUAACAUAAAAAAAUUAGUGGAAUCAAUAAUACAAAGAUAAAAGUAAAAUUACUGAAUACUAAAUUGAUACACUUUACGAAAGUGAGAAAGUGUGAAACCAUAUGAGUGGAAUUUGAAAAUUUUUUCAAAAAAACUUAAUUUGAUGG
Molecule: long non-coding RNA, 396 nt
Filed under: Ananas comosus (pineapple)
Lineage: Eukaryota; Viridiplantae; Streptophyta; Magnoliopsida; Poales; Bromeliaceae
Description: long non-coding RNA (ACOM_LNC019183)
Source: RNAcentral